UGGGGAAUAUUGCACAAUGGAGGGAACUCUGAUGCAGCGACGCCGCGUGAACGAAGAAGGCUUUCGAGUCGUAAAGUUCUUUUAUAUGGGAAGAUAAUGACGGUACCAUAAGAAGAAGCCCCGGCUAACUACGUGCCAGCAGCCGCGGUAAUACGUAGGGGGCUAGCGUUGUCCGGAAUCACUGGGCGUAAAGGGUUCGCAGGCGGAAAUGCAAGUCAGGUGUAAAAGGCAGUAGCUUAACUACUGUAAGCAUUUGAAACUGCAUAUCUUGAGAAGAGUAGAGGUAAGUGGAAUUUUUAGUGUAGCGGUGAAAUGCGUAGAUAUUAAAAAGAAUAACGGUGGCGAAGGCGACUUACUGGGCUCAUUCUGACGCUGAGGAACGAAAGCGUGGGUAGCAAACAGG
RNAcentral lists this ribosomal RNA (403 nucleotides) under bacterium. RNAcentral describes it as "partial 16S ribosomal RNA". It matches the Rfam family "Bacterial small subunit ribosomal RNA", at positions 355 to 776 of the family's 1533-position model. The record is from RNAcentral.